This 214-nucleotide non-coding RNA is filed under the name Xaviernesmea oryzae. Lineage: Bacteria; Pseudomonadati; Pseudomonadota; Alphaproteobacteria; Hyphomicrobiales; Rhizobiaceae. The record is from RNAcentral.
GCUUAGCUGGCACCAGAUGGUUCUGGCGGCCGUGAGGUGCUGCCGGAUGAAAAGGGAAUGCGGUGAGGACGACCCCCUGGAGGGGACCGAGACCGCGGCUGCCCCCGCAACUGUGAGCGGAGAACGACAUCCUUCAAGCCACUGGCCAAAGCCGGGAAGGCGGAUGACGUGACGACCCGCGAGCCAGGAGACCUGCCAUCUGAAGCCGGGCCUU